GGAAGAAGCAGUAGAGAAUAACCCUCCAUUUUUAUCCAUCACAACUCCAAAAGCCUCCCCAUGCUGGCCUGUCUUUGCCUGCAUUUAAAGCAUCCAGCUCCCUGGGUUGUUGCUCAGGAUUCUCAGCCAAACCUGGCAGAUCACCUUCAGGAUUCCUAUUUACUUCCUCUGCACUGAUUUUAUCCAUGAAGGAGUCUGGCUGCCUGCAGCAGUUCAUCUCUCUCCUCUUCCUCAGUGGAUUCCUUGAAGACUGGAGAUCUCAGAUGUAACCAUCCGAAAGGGAAGAGAGAACUCUGCUAUGAGACUGAGCAGUGAGUGCACACACAGGAAAAGGUCC
Poecile atricapillus (Black-capped chickadee) is the source of this 337-nucleotide long non-coding RNA. RefSeq lists it as uncharacterized. NCBI's taxonomy places the organism in Eukaryota, Metazoa, Chordata, Aves, Passeriformes, Paridae. The transcript is spliced from 3 exons. The record is from RefSeq and is a predicted model, not a curated record.